Tetranychus urticae (two-spotted spider mite) is the source of this 2824-nucleotide long non-coding RNA. RefSeq lists it as uncharacterized. The record is from RefSeq and is a predicted model, not a curated record. Lineage: Eukaryota; Metazoa; Arthropoda; Arachnida; Trombidiformes; Tetranychidae.
CAAUAAAAAUAUCUUAUAUUGAGACAAAAGCAUAGGUUAAACAGUGGGUUAAGUGUAUCGAUAAAUAAUACAAAAUUGAUUAAUCGAUAUUUUAAUCUAUUAAUGCAGCUGAUCUUUUAAGCUUUCAAGUAAAAUGUUAUUGUGAUUUUUUAUUUUGUUAUAGCCAAUUAAUCAGACUCAAACACAUGGUAGACAGCAAAUGGUUCAACCAAAUGGCUAAAUUCUGGUAAUUUGUAAACGACUCUUACAUGAACAACUGAAUUAAUGUGAAUAUUCUGUGUCCAUAUAAUGACCAGAAGUGAAUAAUCCCUUCUGUUUUAUAAAGUUCAUACGUAAAUAGCUGUUUAAACAAAAGACUAAACCCAAAUCAUGUCUCCACUGCAAAGUAUUUAUAAUUAAUUAAAUAGAUUCAUUUGGUUCACCUCGUUUCAUAUAAAGGUAGAGCAAAUUCAAUUGUGUUACCUUUACAUCUGAGUUUACAGUAAUAUCAGACUAUUUCUGACCUUCUGAUUGACAUGUUUGUUUUUCAUUUCAUCGCUUGCUUUUAGAGGAAAAAUUGAGAGGAAAAAAGUUCAACGAAUUUUUUCCAAACUCUGUUUGUUCCAUUCAGUAUUUACUUUCCAGGAUAAUUAAAGACAAGAGUAAUUGCAAGUUCAUUUGGUUUUUCAAUUCAAUCGCAUUUACUUAUUGACAUUAAUUCCUUCGUCCGAUUUCGAGACAAAAACGUUAAUUGUCCUCUUAUAAACCUGAUUUCAACUGAAUCAAGAUUCAAUACUAAAGUGCUGUCUAGAGAUCAUGGAAAAGCAAAGCAAAGAAACCAAAAUUUGACAAUCCAAUGAUUUUUUUGAGUAAAUCACAGAUUCAAACAUUAGGUUAAACAUGAAAAUUGCAAAAAGGUAAUUUAAAUGUUGGUUAAUUUAUUCCUAAUUGCUAGGAAUUUGCUGAAAGGAAAUAUUUAUGAACAUUGAAAACCAUUAUUCGUUGUAACAAGUGAAAUCUGGUAAAUCGGGUGAAAGUGGGUAAAGUUGGUUCUGUAGAGUCAAUUCUGGUCACAGUGAGUUAAUUGAAAUCACGAUAUCAACCAUUCAGCAUGAAAAUCACGGAUUGGGUGAAUUAAUAGUGAAAUAUCAUUUGAAACAUUUCUCUACUUCAAAUGAUAAUCACUAGAGUUUGAUGAAGACUGUUGACUGAUUCAAAAGACUCAAUAGUUUAGACACCUUAAAUUUUAAAUUGUAUUUAGCGUUGUUAUCAAGCUGAUCAAUAUAAACUUGCAAUAAAUGCCUUAAGUUACACACAGCUUAUCAAGAUUAUCGAGUCUGAACCAAACUAAAGGAACAUAAGCUUGGAAUAAGUCCAAGAUUAUUUCAAUUGAAGAUAUUGACAGUUGGCAAUAUCAUUUGUCGGUGUUUAUUUACAUCCGAGAUACAAUCAAAAAUGGCAACGACUUCGCACGAAAUGAACACUAAAGCGAUUCAGACUAAUUGUCUAGUCUAGAUCAAAGGCAUGAAACAAAAUUAACUUAAAAUUCAAUGUUAAUUGAAGAUCCUCGGAUCUUUAGCAAUUCAUUUGAACUGUCAAUUUAAAUAGAUUUUAUAAACUCUUGUAGAUGGCGUUGAAACGGUUUACCCAAAUUAGGUAACACAAUAAGAAAUAGGCUGAUCUUCAAUUGUUAAUGUUUAUUAUUGAAGAUCAUUGUAAUCCUAAUUCCUUUUUUGAUAAUUAAACUCUUUUAUAAACACUGUAAUGGUUUCGUUUCUCUAACCAAUCAACUUAAUCAACUUGCUGUUAUCCAAUUAACAAGGAAAAAAAGAGUGAACAUUCAAGAUUUGCAAAGCCGAGGAAAAAACUUGUUUCAUUUUGUAAAAAUAAGCUUAUUCAACUCUAAGGAUUGUCAGUUAUCGUUUUUGACCUUCGUUCAUCAGACUUUUUUGUUCAGAUUUCAUCCUGAUAGCUUCAAGUACUGUAAGUUUUUCAAUUACCUGGACGAUUAAAGUUUAAAGCCGGUGGUCUUGCAAGAGAGUCGUUGACUGCACCUUCAUUGCUGAAUGGUAUUGGUUGAGCUCCUGGUUUGUUUCCCAUUCUGGUUAUUAGGAUGAUUAUGCAGAAAGGAAAUGGUGAUGAAAAUUUAUGGUGAUAGUAUUGGUGGUGGUGAAGGUGAUAUUAAGAUGAGUUAAACACAAUUAAAGAUGGCAGAUUUAAUAUAUCACAGAGUUGAGAUGAUUAAGAGAUAAUCAAGGAAAAAGAUUUUUGGUCUUCAAGUUUCUUCAAUUUUGCUUUUCCUCUGUUCCUCAAUCUAUUUCUUUUGGGUGAAACUUUCAAAAGCUUUUAUCAACAAAUCAAAGCAUUUCAACUUGGAUAUCGAUAAAAUCAUGGUGUUGAGUCAACAUUAAAAAAAGAUAACGAUGAGAAAGGAAAAGGUUAAAACCAUUCCAGGCUGAGUUUAACCAUUAAUUCGAUAUAACCAAAGAUCUUAGUGUAUUAUCUAACUUGAAAUGGCUUGUACAAGUGUUCAUUUGUCAUUGAAGUUGAUGAGGUUAAUUGGAUUUUAUGCUCGUUCUUGGCUAUUCCUUGAUCUCUCCCUAUCUGAAUCUACGGUUGGCUGUUUGGGUGUUAAUAAUUUCAUUGUAAUAAGUUCCAAAAUUGAUUGAUGAUUGAAAGUUGAUCAAUUCCAAAUAAAUUACCGAGUACAGGCACACAAACCAGCAACUUUGAGUAAUUCAACACAACACUCAACAAGUUAAAUUUUGUUCCUAGUUACCAACAAGCAAGUUUACAAGUGGAAGAUUGAAGCACAUAAUAAAAAUGAUGUCAUGGUGUCUUAUUA